ACAGUGGACGCGAGCAUCUUUGUUGUAAGUGUUUAAGAGCGUACGGUGGAUGCCUUGGCACCAGGAGCCGAUGAAGGACGUAGGAGGCUGCGAUAAGCCUCGGGGAGCUGUCAACCGAGCUGAGAUCCGAGGAUGUCCGAAUGGGGAAACCCAGCCACAGUGAUGUGUGGUUACCCGCGCCUGAAUAUAUAGGGCGUGUGGAGGGAACGUGGGGAAGUGAAACAUCUCAGUACCCACAGGAAGAGAAAACAACAUGUGAUUCCGUGAGUAGUGGCGAGCGAAAGCGGAAGAGGCUAAACCAUGGGUGUGUGAUAGCCGGCGGGCGUUGCAUUCGUGGGGUUGUGGGAUCCGUCUUGUCAAUUCUGCCGGAUUGGCCGACAGUGAGAAAUCAUCGUGUUAGUCGAAGUGGUCUGGAACGGCCUGUCGUAGAGGGUGAGAGUCCCGUAGACGAAAACAUGGUGACUGUCGUGACGGACACCCGAGUAGCAGCGGGCCCGUGAAAUCUGCUGUGAAUCUGUCGGGACCACCCGAUAAGCCUGAAUACUCCCUGGUGACCGAUAGCGGACUAGUACCGUGAGGGAAAGGUGAAAAGUACCCCGGGAGGGGAGUGAAAUAGUACCUGAAACCGUGCGCUUACAAUCCGUCAGAGCCUGCGCCACUUUGGUGGGUGGGUGAUGGCGUGCCUUUUGAAGAAUGAGCCUGCGAGUUAGCGGCAUGUCGCGAGGUUAACCCGUGUGGGGUAGCCGUAGCGAAAGCGAGUCCGAAUAGGGCGUUUGUAGUGGCAUGUUCUAGACCCGAAGCGGAGUGAUCUACCCAUGGCCAGGGUGAAGCGACGGUAAGACGUCGUGGAGGCCCGAACCCACUUAGGUUGAAAACUGAGGGGAUGAGCUGUGGGUAGGGGUGAAAGGCCAAUCAAACUCCGUGAUAGCUGGUUCUCCCCGAAAUGCAUUUAGGUGCAGCGUCGCGUGUUUCACUCUGGAGGUAGAGCUACUGGAUGGCCGAUGGGCCCCACAAGGUUACUGACGUCAGCCAAACUCCGAAUGCCAGAGUGUGAGAGCGCGGCAGUGAGACUGCGGGGGAUAAGCUUCGUAGUCGAGAGGGAAACAGCCCAGAUCGCCGGCUAAGGCCCCUAAGCGUGUACUAAGUGGAAAAGGAUGUGGGGUCGCGAAGACAACCAGGAGGUUGGCUUAGAAGCAGCCACCCUUGAAAGAGUGCGUAAUAGCUCACUGGUCAAGUGAUCCUGCGCCGACAAUGUAGCGGGGCUCAAGUACACCGCCGAAGCCGCGGCAUUCACAUAACACCCACUUCCCUCUACGGGGGUUGUGCAGUGGUGUGGAUGGGUAGGGGAGCGUCGUGCAGCCAUGGAAGCGCCGGAGUGAUCCAGGUGUGGAGGCUGCACGAGUGAGAAUGCAGGCAUGAGUAGCGAAAGACGAGUGAGAAACUCGUCCGCCGAAUGACCAAGGGUUCCUGGGCCAGGUUAAUCCGCCCAGGGUGAGUCGGGACCUAAGGCGAGGCCGACAGGCGUAGUCGAUGGACAACGGGUUGAUAUUCCCGUACCCGUGUGAACGCGCCCCUGGUGAAUCAGUGAUGCUAAGCGCCCUGAAGCCGCCUUCGAACCUUCGGGUUCUCCGGUGUGUGGAUGCGCGUGAACCGAUCUGGUAGUAGCCAAGCGAUGGGGUGACGCAGGAAGGUAGCUGAGCCAGUCAGUGGUAAUACUGGUGUAAGCGUGUAGGGCGUGACCUAGGCAAAUCCGGGUCACACACAGCCUGAGACGUGAUGCGUAGCCGAUUGAGGCGAAUUCAGUGAUCCUAUGCUGCCGAGAAAAGCCUCUAGCGAGCUUUCACACGGCCCGUACCCCAAACCGACACAGGUGGUCAGGUAGAGAAUACUAAGGCGAUCGAGAUAACUGUGGUUAAGGAACUCGGCAAAAUGCCCCCGUAACUUCGGGAGAAGGGGGGCCUCGUCUGGUGACGGAACUUGCUUCCUGAGCUGGGUGGGGCCGCAGAGACCAGAGAGAAGCGACUGUUUACUAAAAACACAGGUCCGUGCGAAGUCGUAAGACGAUGUAUACGGACUGACGCCUGCCCGGUGCUGGAAGGUUAAGAGGACCGGUUAGCCAGUAAUGGCGAAGCUGAGAAUUUAAGCCCCAGUAAACGGCGGUGGUAACUAUAACCAUCCUAAGGUAGCGAAAUUCCUUGUCGGGUAAGUUCCGACCUGCACGAAUGGCGUAACGACUUCUCUGCUGUCUCAACCACAGACUCGGCGAAAUUGCAUUACGAGUAAAGAUGCUCGUUACGCGCGGCAGGACGAAAAGACCCCGGGACCUUCACUAUAGCUUGGUAUUGGUGUUCGGUUCGGUUUGUGUAGGAUAGGUGGGAGACUGUGAAGCGGGCACGCCAGUGUUCGUGGAGUCGUUGUUGAAAUACCACUCUGAUCGUAUUGGACAUCUAACCUCGGACCAUGAUCUGGUUCAGGGACAGUGCCUGGUGGGUAGUUUAACUGGGGCGGUUGCCUCCCAAAAUGUAACGGAGGCGCCCAAAGGUUCCCUCAGCCUGGUUGGCAAUCAGGUGUCGAGUGCAAGUGCACAAGGGAGCUUGACUGUGAGACUGACAGGUCGAGCAGGGACGAAAGUCGGGACUAGUGAUCCGGCACCGGCAAGUGGAAGCGGUGUCGCUCAACGGAUAAAAGUACCCCGGGGAUAACAGGCUGAUCUUCCCCAAGAGUCCAUAUCGACGGGAUGGUUUGGCACCUCGAUGUCGGCUCGUCGCAUCCUGGGGCUGGAGUAGGUCCCAAGGGUUGGGCUGUUCGCCCAUUAAAGCGGCACGCGAGCUGGGUUUAGAACGUCGUGAGACAGUUCGGUCUCUAUCCGCCGCGCGCGUAGAAACUUGAGGAAGGCUGUCCCUAGUACGAGAGGACCGGGACGACGAACCUCUGGUGUGCCAGUUGUUCCGCCAGGAGCACUGCUGGUUAGCUACGUUCGGAAGGGAUAACCGCUGAAAGCAUCUAAGCGGGAAGCCUGUCCAAGAUGAGGUUU
RNAcentral lists this ribosomal RNA (3034 nucleotides) under Rhodococcus (subgen. Prescottella) equi. RNAcentral's name for it is "Rhodococcus hoagii partial 23S ribosomal RNA". It matches the Rfam family "Bacterial large subunit ribosomal RNA". Lineage: Bacteria; Bacillati; Actinomycetota; Actinomycetes; Mycobacteriales; Nocardiaceae. The record is from RNAcentral.